Long non-coding RNA from Monomorium pharaonis (pharaoh ant), 311 nucleotides. RefSeq lists it as uncharacterized. Lineage: Eukaryota; Metazoa; Arthropoda; Insecta; Hymenoptera; Formicidae. The record is from RefSeq and is a predicted model, not a curated record. The transcript is spliced from 2 exons.
CAAGGAACAAUCAGUGACAACAAUGCCAAACCGAACCAUCUGCGUCCGCAUCCUUCUUCUGUGCUACAACUGAUUUAAUAUUUUAUAAUUUACUCAAAUGCUGUAGAACAUCAAUCAAUUAAAACUUUAAAAGAUUACACUUUUCUACAAAUUCAAAAUCCAAUAAAUUCCUAACAAAUCCAAACUCAUACGAAACAAUGCAAAAUCUGAAUAGAGUUGAAGAAAAUAAUAUAUAUAAAGUAUAGGAAUAUAAAUGUAUAUUAGUUUUAUAUAUAAAAUGAGCAAUAUAAUAAUAAAGUUAAGAAAAUACA